UACGUAGGGUCCAAGCGUUAUCCGGAAUCACUGGGCGUAAAGCGUGCGUAGGUGGCGUGUUAAGUGAGAUGUGAAGCCGUGUGGCUCAACCAUACGUUGUGUCUCAUACUGGCAUGCUAGAGGACGGCAGAGGCAAGUGGAAUUACGAGUGUAGCAGUGAAAUGCGUAGAGAUUCGUAGGAACACCAAUGGCGAAGGCAGCUUGCUGGGCCACUCCUGACACUGAGGUACGAAAGCGUGGGGAGCGAACAGG
RNAcentral lists this ribosomal RNA (252 nucleotides) under uncultured bacterium. Its description in RNAcentral is "partial 16S ribosomal RNA". It matches the Rfam family "Bacterial small subunit ribosomal RNA", at positions 524 to 776 of the family's 1533-position model. The record is from RNAcentral.